Strongyloides venezuelensis is the source of this 72-nucleotide transfer RNA. It matches the Rfam family "tRNA". From Rfam's summary of the family: Transfer RNA (tRNA) molecules are approximately 80 nucleotides in length. Their secondary structure includes four short double-helical elements and three loops (D, anti-codon, and T loops). Lineage: Eukaryota; Metazoa; Nematoda; Chromadorea; Rhabditida; Strongyloididae. The record is from Rfam.
UCUCUGGUAGUAUAGUGGUGAGUAUCCGCGCCUGUCACGUGCGAGACCGGGGUUCGAUUCCCCGCCAGAGAG